GAUGAAGAACGUAGCGAAAUGCGAUAAGUAAUGUGAAUUGCAGAAUUCAGUGAAUCAUCGAAUCUUUGAACGCACAUUGCGCCCGCCAGUAUUCUGGCGGGCAUGCCUGUUCGAGCGUCAUUUCAACCCUCAGGCCCCCAGUGCCUGGUGUUGGGGAUCGGCCCAGCCUUCCUGUAAGGCCGCCGGCCCCGAAAUCUAGUGGCGGUCUCGCUGUAGUCCUCCUCUGCGUAGUAGCACAACCUCGCAGUUGGAACGCGGCGGUGGCCAUGCCGUUAAACACCCCACUUCUGAAAGUUGACCUCAGAUCAGGUAGGAAUACCCGCUGAACUUAAGCAUAUCAAUAAGCGGAGGA
RNAcentral lists this unclassified non-coding RNA (352 nucleotides) under soil metagenome. RNAcentral describes it as "partial contains 5.8S ribosomal RNA, internal transcribed spacer 2, and large subunit ribosomal RNA". The stretch from base 1 to 120 matches the Rfam family "5.8S ribosomal RNA", at positions 35 to 154 of the family's 154-position model. The record is from RNAcentral.